UAGGGAAUCUUCGGCAAUGGACGGAAGUCUGACCGAGCAACGCCGCAUGAGUGAAGAAGGUUUUCGGAUCGUAAAGCUCUGUUGUAAGAGAAGAACGAGUGUGAGAGUGGAAAGUUCACACUGUGACGGUAUCUUACCAGAAAGGGACGGCUAACUACGUGCCAGCAGCCGCGGUAAUACGUAGGUCCCGAGCGUUGUCCGGAUUUAUUGGGCGUAAAGCGAGCGCAGGCGGUUAGAUAAGUCUGAAGUUAAAGGCUGUGGCUUAACCAUAGUACGCUUUGGAAACUGUUUAACUUGAGUGCAAGAGGGGAGAGUGGAAUUCCAUGUGUAGCGGUGAAAUGCGUAGAUAUAUGGAGGAACACCGGUGGCGAAAGCGGCUCUCUGGCUUGUAACUGACGCUGAGGCUCGAAAGCGUGGGGAGCAAACAGGAUUAGAUACCCUGGUAGUCCACGCCGUAAACGAUGAGUGCUAGGUGUUAGACCCUUUCCGGGGUUUAGUGCCGCAGCUAACGCAUUAAGCACUCCGCCUGGGGAGUACGACCGCAAGGUUG
RNAcentral lists this ribosomal RNA (550 nucleotides) under uncultured bacterium. RNAcentral's name for it is "bacterial SSU rRNA". It matches the Rfam family "Bacterial small subunit ribosomal RNA", at positions 355 to 896 of the family's 1533-position model. The record is from RNAcentral.